This 460-nucleotide ribosomal RNA is filed under the name uncultured bacterium. RNAcentral's name for it is "partial 16S ribosomal RNA". It matches the Rfam family "Bacterial small subunit ribosomal RNA", at positions 338 to 795 of the family's 1533-position model. The record is from RNAcentral.
CCUACGGGAGGCAGCAGUGAGGAAUAUUGGUCAAUGGCCGGAAGGCUGAACCAGCCAUGCCGCGUGCAGGUCAGUGCCCUUUGGGCGUUAAACUUCUUUUGUGCGGGAGCAAUACUGGUCACGUGUGGCCAGACGAUAGUACCGUACGAAUAAGCAUCGGCUAACUCCGUGCCAGCAGCCGCGGUAAUACGGGGGUUGCAAGCGUUAUCCGGAUUUAUUGGGUUUAAAGGGUGCGUAGGCUGGGAGGUAAGUCAGCGGUGAAAUGCCCCCGCUCAACGGGGUGAAGUGCCAUUGAUACUGCCUGGCUGGAAUGAGGAUGCCGUGGGAGGAAGGGGUGGUGUAGCGGUGAAAUGCAAAGAUAUAACACAGAACACCGAUUGCGAAGGCAGCUCACGAAUCCGCGAUUGACGCUGAUGCACGAAAGCGUGGGUAUCAAACAGGAUUAGAUACCCGAGUAGUC